This 445-nucleotide ribosomal RNA is filed under the name uncultured bacterium. Its description in RNAcentral is "partial 16S ribosomal RNA". It matches the Rfam family "Bacterial small subunit ribosomal RNA", at positions 354 to 796 of the family's 1533-position model. The record is from RNAcentral.
GUGAGGAAUAUUGGUCAAUGGACGCGAGUCUGAACCAGCCAAGUAGCGUGAAGGAUGACUGCCCUAAGGGUUGUAAACUUCUUUUAUAAGGGAAUAAAGUGAGGGACGUGUCCCUUUUUGUAUGUACCUUAUGAAUAAGGAUCGGCUAACUCCGUGCCAGCAGCCGCGGUAAUACGGAGGAUCCAAGCGUUAUCCGGAUUUAUUGGGUUUAAAGGGAGCGUAGGUUGACAUAUAAGUCAGCUGUGAAAGUUUACGGCUCAACCGUGAAAUUGCAGUUGAUACUGUAUGUCUUGAGUGUACAAGAGGUGGGCGGAAUUCGUGGUGUAGCGGUGAAAUGCUUAGAUAUCACGAAGAACUCCAAUUGCGAAGGCAGCUCACUGGGGUACAACUGACACUGAGGCUCGAAAGUGUGGGUAUCAAACAGGAUUAGAUACCCGAGUAGUCC